GGAGGGGUGUCCGAGCGGCUUAAGGAGCACGCCUGGAGAGCGUGUGGGUCUUCUGGGCCUCGUGGGUUCGAAUCCCACCCCCUCCG
RNAcentral lists this transfer RNA (86 nucleotides) under Candidatus Coatesiibacteriota bacterium. Its description in RNAcentral is "Candidatus Coatesbacteria bacterium tRNA-Ser". It matches the Rfam family "tRNA". Rfam says of the family: Transfer RNA (tRNA) molecules are approximately 80 nucleotides in length. Their secondary structure includes four short double-helical elements and three loops (D, anti-codon, and T loops). The record is from RNAcentral. Lineage: Bacteria; Candidatus Coatesiibacteriota.